GCGCCACUCUCUUCGUCUAGCAUCAUUUGGUCUAGUGCCUUUUGAGCUAGUGCAAUUGGUCUAGUGCUUCAGCUGGUCUAGCGCCAGUUUGGCUAGUUUCGUUUGAGCUAGUGCCAAAGUGCCAUUCAUUUGAGCUAGUGCCUUUGGUCUAGUGCCGUAAUUUCGUCUAGCUUUCAGCAGACUCAUUUCCAUGAUGGAGGUGUAUUAUCAUGCUUGGCACAAUAAUUAGACUCACGAGGAAAAGAUUUUGCGGUUAUUUUAUUUUCUUACAGAACUUCACGAGGCAGCUUUCAUUCCUUUUCUGUUUCGACUGAAGCGAGGUAAAUUUGUUGUGUGAUAGACGCAAAUUACGGGUUAUCGGCUGUAGCUAUGGAAAUUUUUAAGUCAUCAAGGGGUGGGGACAAAUUAAGCUUCGAAGGUUUUGUCUACCGAAAGAAUACUUCAAAUAUUACCACUCAAAAUUGGCGAUGCGAAAACAAAGGAUGUAAAGGAUCUGUUUCAACAUCAUUACGAUAUCAUACCGAAAGACAAGUUGUUACUAGGCAAAUUCACAACCACCCCCCAGUUCCGGCAAGAGUUGAAGUUGUUUCGGCAUUGGACAAAGCCAUGGAACAGGCAGAAACGUCAAAUUUGCGUCCAAGAAGAAUUAUAAGUGAUAUGAAUUUGAGUAGAGAAGACACAACAGAAGCUCCAACUAGAAAGGCAAUUUCGCAACGUAUCCAAAGAAAACGAAAACAUUCAGAAAUCGGACAUGAAGUAGCGCCACUCAACAGGUCAGGCAUUAUAAUUCCAGAGAAGUACAAAACGACAAAACGGGGAGAAGAAGAGCAUCGUUUCCUGCUGUAUGACAAUGAAGAUGAUGGAAACGACAGACUGAUAGUCUUUUCUUCCGAAGUCAUGCUAGACGAAUUAAGCAAAAAUAACAUUUGGAUGAUGGACGGAACAUUCAAAGUGGCACCUACUUUAUUUCUUCAGUUAUAUACCAUACAUGUUAUCAUUGGCGGGCCAAA
Long non-coding RNA from Amphibalanus amphitrite, 1010 nucleotides. RefSeq lists it as uncharacterized. The transcript is spliced from 2 exons. NCBI's taxonomy places the organism in Eukaryota, Metazoa, Arthropoda, Thecostraca, Balanomorpha, Balanidae. The record is from RefSeq and is a predicted model, not a curated record.